Molecule: non-coding RNA, 311 nt
Organism: Paramuricea clavata
Lineage: Eukaryota; Metazoa; Cnidaria; Anthozoa; Malacalcyonacea; Plexauridae
Source: the annotation of a GenBank genome assembly
UUCUACAAUCUUUGACAAUAUAGAUUGGGACAAUCUAGUUUUCACAUGCAUUCGGUUGUAAUAUACCAUUUGCUGAUACAUAUUUUCCACCCUCCCUCCCCCCACCCGUUUCAAUGUUGGCGCCGCGCAUCCAGACAUCAGAUUUUUGUUGGCCCAACAUUGAACUGGGGGAACGGGGGGGCGCUAUUCCUUUCAAAAUAUAUGAAAUUACAGCAGCUGUCCCAUAGUUUCUGGCAAAGAUUGAAUCUUUGACAAUAUAGAUUGGGACAAUCUAGUUUUCACAUGCAUUCGGUUGUAAUAUACCAUUUGCU